UAGAUUAGUUGAGAAUUUUGACCUUGGUUGC
Molecule: non-coding RNA, 31 nt
Filed under: Mus musculus (house mouse)
Lineage: Eukaryota; Metazoa; Chordata; Mammalia; Rodentia; Muridae
Source: RNAcentral